UGUGAUUUCAUCUUUAAUAGCCCUGCCAAAUAUUUUGAUUUGAAUACUUAAUUACCAAGCAACCUUUCAGAUUACAGAAAAUGAUAAGACACCAAGCAUGGUCAUGUCACUAAACGAGGCCUUAGCUUAUUACAAUAGAAUUGGUUGUUGUUGUUGGAAAGAAGAAUAUUUGAUUUUCAGCUAACUUUCCUAAUUCCUAAUUUAAUUCUCUUGUUUAUAUGUAAAAUCUUCAUCAACUUUUGCUUAUCUAAUAAGAUUGCUCCCUCCCUGAAUCAUAACAAGGAACGUGAAGCAAAAUCUCAAAUCUUUUUAUUGGCCAAGACUUAAGACCAUAUCAACCUUCAAGGCUGUUACAUCUAACUCAUAUGUGAUCAAUANGUUACAUCUAACUCAUAUAGUGAUCAAUAAUGUGUGUAUAUAUAGAAAAAGUGUAGGUUGUGUCAUCAUACCUUAAAUGAGAAAUUACUGAAUGAGUAAUUCACAUUGAGAGUUGAAGCACCAAAUUCUUCCAGGUUACCACAUUCAUCACCCGGCCUGUUUAAUCACACAACCAAAUAAUC
This 560-nucleotide long non-coding RNA is filed under the name Lactuca sativa (garden lettuce). RNAcentral describes it as "long non-coding RNA (LSAT_LNC009804)". Lineage: Eukaryota; Viridiplantae; Streptophyta; Magnoliopsida; Asterales; Asteraceae. The record is from RNAcentral.